This 125-nucleotide small RNA is filed under the name Marmota monax (woodchuck). Lineage: Eukaryota; Metazoa; Chordata; Mammalia; Rodentia; Sciuridae. The record is from RNAcentral.
GCUGGGUGCGGUGGUGCACGCCUGCAAUCCCAGCGGCUUGGGAGGCUGAGACAGGAGGAUUGGGAAUUCAAAGCCAGCCUCAGCCAAAGUGAGGCAGUAAGCAACUCAGUGAGACCCUGUCUCUA